Hippopotamus amphibius kiboko is the source of this 3306-nucleotide RNA transcript. RefSeq lists it as uncharacterized. The transcript is spliced from 7 exons. The record is from RefSeq and is a predicted model, not a curated record. Lineage: Eukaryota; Metazoa; Chordata; Mammalia; Artiodactyla; Hippopotamidae.
AUAUUUCCUCUGCAGCUGCACAGGCCGGCAGGCAGCCUGUGAUGGGGGCCUGCUCAGGAGACCCCCACCUCUGCUGGGCCUCCAGGCUCCUGGGAUUCACCAGCCUCCUCCUCAGAUCACACCUUUUGUAGCUCACAGAGCUCUUGCUGCCUUCCUUCUCCUUCUAUGUCUUCUUCCAUCUUCCUCACAGCUCGGCUCACCAUCAGCUUUUGGGUGGAUCCUCCCUGAAGCCUGUGGGCUGAGCCUCUUCUCUCCCUGGUUCCUGGUUCCUGUUUUUCCAGCACAUGGGGAGUCUGGCUGGGCUGCUGUUUAACCCUCAGCUGUCCAGAAGUCCCUGCCCUGACAAACCCCUUUAAGUACCUUUUUCGCCUUUCCCCGUAGAGGAAAGUUGGAGGAACUGCUCAGAUCCUGGGGAUGAGACAGUAGUGCUGGGAGCGGAGCUCCUGGGGAGGACAGGGCAGGAUAGGGGAGGUGAUGGGCAGCUCCUGCAGGGGAGAAGCACUGGGCUGGGAGAGAGGAGCCCUGCCUCCAGGUGUGGCUCUUCCAUGAGUGCCCCAGGACACGUUCACCCCCUGGGGGGCCUCCUCCACUGUGACAGGAGGGGUCUGGGCAGAUUUCCUCUAAGGCCUAACCUGGAGGUGAUGCCUGAUUAGGUGACUUAGUGAUUAAAUGAAUACAAAGGAAUAUCUGAAAUACCUGUGCAUAUGAGCACUGGCACAAACUAUUCUCUGUUUCUAGUGAGAGCCAGGAAUGGGAGUAAGUACAGCAGUAGGGAGGAAGGCCUGAAAUAAUAAGAAUUUAUUGAACUGGAGAGAGGACUGGGACCUUGGAAGAUAGAGGCCUACCCAGACAGAUGGAUCCUGAUCUGGUGGAAGAAGCAAACUGAUCAUCUUUUCAGGAUAAGACACUUUCCCUGGUCCUCUGGCUCAGGGUCUCCCAGGCUGAAAUCAAGGUCUUGGCUGGGGCUGUGUCAGCUCAGGGUCACCUGGGAAGGAUCUGCUUCCAAGCCCACUCAUGUGAUUGCUGAUUGGAGGCAGUUCCUGUGGUUGUUGGACUGAAGUCUCAGUUCCUCCCUGGAUGUUGGCCGGAGGCUCCCUUAUUUCCUUGUCACAUGGGCUGCUCCAUAGCUCAGCUGACAACAUGGCAGCUGGGUUUCUCAGAGUGAGCAAGAGAGAGAGAGAGAGAGAGGGGAGUCAUGGUCUCCUAUAACCUAGUAUCACUGAGUGACAUUCAUCACGUCUGCUGUGGUCCAUUUCUUAGAAGCCAGUCUCUAGGUGCAGCGCACACUCUAGGGCAGGGAGUUACACAAAGAUGUGAACAUGAAAAGACACUUAAGAAGCUCCUCUUACAGUUAUGCAUUUGGUGUUGACAGAAACUCUGCUAGGUGCUUUUGAUCCAUGAUCUCUUUCAGUUUAUACUGUCAUUAUGAAGCAGAUGAGGAAACUGCAGGGUGGCAAGUUUAAGUUACCUAUUCGAGGUUACAAUUCACUACAACUUGGAUUUAAUUCUAGAAUUGCUUCAAAUUCAUUUUACUAGGAUGCCUCCUGAGGAUCAAGGGAAUAUAUUGGAUGAGUUUCAUUUAAAAGAUGGGUUCUGUGGUUUUCUCCUUUAUUGUUCCUGAAAAAAAAAAUACAUUUCCUGUUUCCAAUGGCCUAGGCAUCUGCAGCACUGGGGUCAAGAGUUCUGGAGCACAUGAUUCUGGAGUUCAGGAUUCUGGAGCUCACAUUCCUCUGCAUGGGAUCCGAGGAGGUUCUGUGUUGUUUCAUGUGACUAAGAAGCAAGAAGCUGAGCUGACGGAGGUCACAUGGGGCUUUGGCCCAGAGUCAAACUACAGAGUCCUGCUGAAAGUCUGUGCUGGGGGAGAUGCUCCAACCUGGGUCAGCCUCCAGGACAAGUACCAGCAGAGGGUCCAUGUGCCCAACAUGACAACCCUGAAGAUUGAGAACCUGACCUCUGAGGACAGUGGGCAGUACCGGGCUCGAGCCAGCUUCACUGGGGGACUAGAAUUUAACCAAGUUUUCCUCCUCACUGUCUAUGAGCCUGUGCCCCUGCCCCAGAUCCUGUCCAAGUCAUCAUCCAUCACUCCAGGCUGGUGCAAUGUCACCCUGGAGUGCAGAGCCUCAGGGGUCACAGAGGACCUGAAGGUGACCUGGGAGAGCAAGGGCCUCCCCAGGGAGCUGGAGCAGAGAAUGACCCCGGGACCAGCCUCCAACUCCUCUACUCUGACUGUGAGCCUGCCUCUCAGCCAGCCCAGCGCCAGCCUCACCUGUGUGCUCAGCAACCAGGUGGACCAGAAAACUGCCACCUUGGACCUUGGGAAACUCUGUGUCCAUGGUUCACAUGAACAGGUCAGUGCUGACCCCCUGCCAGGCAUCCUAGGGGCUGUCGUGGCUGUGUUAUUGAUCCUUGGAGGUGGACUGUACCUUUGGAAGACAAGUGGGAAAAAGAAGAAGAAGAAGAUGGAGACUAGAAGAGGUACAGAAUUGCAGGAGGACCAAAUGGACAAUGAUGGUAGCAUCGAGUAUGCAGAGCUGAGCCAGCAGGAGCCUCGAGAGGGCACAAACAAGGGCAUUGGUAAACAACAUUCAGAAGAAAAGGAGGCUCUUAAUACUGUCUACAGUGAGGUCCAUAAGCCAGAAAGUGAGGCCAUGAAGAUAAUUUAGUUGGAGGAGGCAGGAGAAUCGGCACUCCUAGGACACCUCCACUCGGAGCUUGAUCCCUGCAGACACCUGCGUCUCCCAGCUCUGGUCCAGCUCUGGCUGCCCCGGUCUGCGUGACUCUGACCCUCCUGCCCUCAACUCCCUGGACACACGUGGCCUUGUCACGUCCUCUGUCACCUCUCCAAAGCUGGCUUCCCACUCAGGGUCCUCACCCUGCAGGAUGAGUGCUCUUCUUCCAUCACUGACUCAGCUCCUGACCACGCUCCUCCUGAAGCUUCCCGAAGAGGACCUUCUUGCAAGUGAUAAUCCCCACGGCAUCUGCGGUGUGGCUGGUGUGAGAACACAAGCCCAUGCGUGGGGAGUGUGUAGAAGAUAUUGACCACACCACAGAGGAGGGGGUUAGGACCCUGGUGCUGGAUGCUGAGUUGGGAGUCCGUGGAGGCCGCAUGGGGAGGUGGGAGCCCACAAAGGACUGGCUCGAGGUUUCCUUUGCACCUUGUAUAGGGCAAAAGGCUGAACAGAAGACUGAAAGAGAAAAAGAUGACAUCUCUCACUGGCAUCCCAGGUAACCAGUCAUGGCUGGGUAUCAGUGCCCAUCAGUCCAGAAAUGGUAAUCGAUCCCUCCCACCCCACCUAAAGCAGAAGA